AUUGAACGCUGGCGGCAGGCCUAACACAUGCAAGUCGAGCGGAUGAAGGGAGCUUGCUCUUGGAUUCAGCGGCGGACGGGUGAGUAAUGCCUAGGAAUCUGCCUGGUAGUGGGGGAUAACGUCCGGAAACGGGCGCUAAUACUGCAUACGUCCUGAGGGAGAAAGUGGGGGAUCUUCGGACCUCACGCUAUCAGAUGAGCCUAGGUCGGAUUAGCUAGUUGGUGGGGUAAAGGCCUACCAAGGCGACGAUCCGUAACUGGUCUGAGAGGAUGAUCAGUCACACUGGAACUGAGACACGGUCCAGACUCCUACGGGAGGCAGCAGUGGGGAAUAUUGGACAAUGGGCGAAAGCCUGAUCCAGCCAUGCCGCGUGUGUGAAGAAGGUCUUCGGAUUGUAAAGCACUUUAAGUUGGGAGGAAGGGCAGUAAGUUAAUACCUUGCUGUUUUGACGUUACCAACAGAAUAAGCACCGGCUAACUUCGUG
This 484-nucleotide ribosomal RNA is filed under the name uncultured bacterium. RNAcentral's name for it is "partial 16S ribosomal RNA". It matches the Rfam family "Bacterial small subunit ribosomal RNA", at positions 30 to 507 of the family's 1533-position model. The record is from RNAcentral.